CUUGCGGUUUGGUCGGGUAUUAAUGAGGGAGGUGGCCACUGGCCAUCAAAAUGCUGUUGGAGAGCUGGAGAAACCUGUGUCACCACCAAGUCUGAUCCUCCCACUGUGUAGCUAGAGAAACCGCCAGUCUUCGCCUCUGGAACUAGCUGGAGAUCACUAAGGCUCCCGAGCCCCUCAAAGGUUGCCUGUGGCAUGAAUUCUCCUCUACCUCUCUUCUACGUCAACCAGCUCUGGUAUGGACAUUUUCCUUCCUAAGGAGUGCUUACGGAAAUGCUUUUCACUAUAGAAAACAAAAUCAGGGAUUCCAUCUCCCGCUACCUGCUGGCAGCCAGGAUGGGAGCAGAGGACCUAGACUCAGUCAAUUAGAAAUUCCCACUGGGCCUCAGCGUGCGUCCAUUUGUGUGGAUUCCCAUGAGAGGCGUGGCUGCUGCAACCGUCCAGAACCCGUAGAUGUGGUGUUCGGUGGCGGGCGAUCCCCUGGCAGGAACAAUAGGAAUGCAGCAGGGGAGGAUGCAUCCGGGUCUUCAGAGAUGCCCCUUGCGCCUCCACACCUUGCUCACCAAAUCAGGGUUUACUUGUGAAGGCUGGAGGAGAACAAGCUGUCCCAUUCCAAGAAAAGAGCCUGCCACCAGCAACUGGGACUGGGCUGGAAGGCCUGGCCCUUCAACCGCCAGACAUGGCACCCCAGAGGAGUCCUCCAAAGGACGGAACCCACCCUGCAGCAGCCUUCCUCUGCCAGAGGCCUGGGCCUGAGGUGUGUCUGUCUCCACUGAGCCAUUCCCGGAAGUAGCCAGAUGAGCUGCCCCUUCCAUUCCCACCGACACCCGGGCUUCGCUUGUCUCUCGGCCUUCAGUUUGCUCAGGGAGUGAGAAGAAAUACAAAGCACCAGCCUGUAACGGGGCCACACUGGGCCCAGAGAGGGCAGGAGGGGCAGCAGGCAGAGUCCAGGAGAUCUUCAGUCCAGGGGGCAGUCAGGACUGGCAGGAGGGAACCUGGCUGGGCAGAGACCGGGCAGCUCUGGCCCCCUCCCUUCCUGCUCCAUAGCACAGAAGGCUAUGCUUCAGCCGAAACCGAUGCAUAGAAAAGGGGCUGGAGUUUUUGCGGUUUCCAGGGCUUUGGUGAGAACCAGGCCUGUCUGUUCCCUGCCUUCAGGAAGCCCAGGUCUCGUAGGGGACACAGGUGGCUUCAUGCUUAGGUGGAAACUGCAAGAGGCACACACAAGUAGGAGGGUUGCCUCGAACCCUCCACUUCCUGACAUCCCCCUCCUCUUCUCCAGCACCACAGACUCUGAGAGGCCGAGAAGCCAGAUGCUUGCUUCUACCUCCAUGCCAACUUUAUUGCCCUCACAGCAGGGCUGAGACAGAUCCUGGGAAGUGACCUGAGGAGACCCAAGUACCCUUUCCUGGGGUGGGGGACCCCCAGUCCCACCCAGAGACCUCCACCUACCCCAUACUGACAUCUUUGCUGGUCCCAGCCCAGGGGGGAGGUCAGGAACCAGGAUGCAGUGCCCCAGGCUCCAGGGGCCCCAUCGGGCUCAGGUCGUCUGUCUCUGGACCACCUGGCCGACCUCCCAGGCACCACCAACCCUGCCCAUUGUCUGAAGCGACUGAAAACGGGGUCCCUGGGCAGGACAUGUGCCUUCCACCCACGCCAUUCCUCUGGCCUGGUCUCCCUGGCCUGCUGGGGCUGUCCCCUCACUAGACCAGGCUCCACCUGCUCGGGAUGCGCAGGACAAGGAAGGGGUCCGGGCAUUGGUGAGCUGUGCUCCCCUGGGCUCCGCAGGUCAGGAGGGAGGCCCGGGGGUGUAGGGAGGGCUCACUGGGGUUAGGGGAUCACAUGGGGCGGGAGGCCGCCUUUCAUCCGGCUGUGUGAAGCAGACCUGCCCUCCCCCCGGCCAAGCCUACUGGCAUUGGCAUGCGCCAUAAAUCUCCAGGAUGCUGCAGCUAUGACUGGAUUAUUUAUAGCUCCAGUCUUACAUUUCUAACACGAAAAUAUCACACAAAGAGAAAGGUAAUGAAAUCUCACCUCUCCUGCAUGUCCCUCACUCCACACUGCAGGGCUUUCCAGAAGCCCUCCUGGCUGAAGCAGGGAUGAGGGAGGCUGGCCUCCUCCUCCACCGGGCUCCCCCCAUCCUCCCUCCCCCUCCUGUCAAUCACGCACACUUCUCAGCUGCACAUCCUCCCAGACACAUUCCCUCUCAGACACAUUCGCACACAUGUUGUUCUCUCUCUCUCUCUCUCUCUCUCUCUCUCUCUCUCUCUCUCUCUCUCUCUCUCUCUCUCUCUCGUGAGCGCGCGCGCGCGUACAUUUCCUCUCAGAUGCAGAGGAUUCUGUUCAGCCUCUCCCUCCCUCUCCGCUCACCCUGCCUGUUCCCCCAGACGUGCUCCACACACCUCUGCCCUUUCCCUUCCACAGCCGUCUCCCUGUGUGACUCACCCGCUUCCGGCGUGUUUGCUUUUUUGCUUUGUCAAUGAAGCCGCUGGCACAUUAAUUACCAGGCCUGUCCUCUGCCGAGGCACAUCAGCUCCUUGUCAGUCACUGGGGGAAGUGUCAGCUUGCAUCCGUCUCCUUCUGCCUUCAAGAAUCCCGUGGGCAUUGCCUCCCCAGGGGGACCUGCUUUGCGGCACGUGGCAGUGAGGGCACGUGUCCCUGGGCUUGACAUAGCCAGACACCCAGAAAACACAGGCCACUGAACGAGCCUCUUGCCAGCAGUCAGGAGCACCUACGGGUGUCUCUGCAAAGCCGCCCUCCCCCCGUUUUAGAGUCUCACGGUGUUGCAGGGCUGCGGGCCUUCCAUAAGGCCUGCCCGUGGGCGUUGGGACCACCGCUCACUUAUACCUGGGUAUUCAUUAUAGUUGUGUGUGUGCGUGUGCAUGCGUGUGCGUAUGCACAUGAGCUCCCAUGUACACAUGCUUUUUUCAGUACCUGGGAUGAACCCAGGGGCACUCUACUACUGAGCUACAUCACCGACCUAUUCAUUUUUUUGAAAAAGGAUCUGCCUAAGUGACCUAGGCUGACCUCAAAUUUGCAAUCCUCCUGCCUCAACCUCCCAAGUAGCUGUGAUUACAGGCAUGUAAUCACACCCGGCUAUACCUGUCUUAUGCCAGCAUAAAGGGUGAUCACAGACAAUGACAGUCUACUCUGGGCUGAGUCUGAGUCUGGGGACAGAAACCUAGCAACCCACUAGCAGGGUGGCAUUUCUUGGAAGUCUCUUUCUCGCUCCUUUUGUAUCUAAAAAAAUUCACCUAGCUUGUGGUAUUAUUCAUUGUAUCUGUCAAUUAUCUUAAAUAUCUUAUAAUUAAGUGCUUAACUUUUUUUCCUGAAAUCUUU
Sciurus carolinensis (gray squirrel) is the source of this 3330-nucleotide long non-coding RNA. RefSeq lists it as uncharacterized. NCBI's taxonomy places the organism in Eukaryota, Metazoa, Chordata, Mammalia, Rodentia, Sciuridae. The transcript is spliced from 5 exons. The record is from RefSeq and is a predicted model, not a curated record.